GGGCCAUAGCUCCAUGGCAAAGCAUCUGCUUUGCAUGCAGAAGGUCCCUGGUUCGAUCCCUGGCAUCUCCA
Podarcis lilfordi (Lilford's wall lizard) is the source of this 71-nucleotide non-coding RNA. The record is from the annotation of a GenBank genome assembly. Lineage: Eukaryota; Metazoa; Chordata; Lepidosauria; Squamata; Lacertidae.